AACAAGUGUUUUUUUUUUUUAUACAGAUACAUGUGCGAGCGGCGGCCGAUUUGGAAACACUUAAAUCCCAGCACUUGUGAAAUAUAAUUCUAUUACAUAAAAAGCAGCUCUCCGUUGCAACGCGUCACGCCGUGGCGGGAGCUCGCCGAGUUCUGAUUGGAUCAAUUAUUCUACGAGCUAGCCUUCUCGAAGGUACCCGGGUGAGUCGGGCAUGCGCCUCUACUAUUUCGACACCAGAUAUAGCGUGCAUAUAUACACAUCCCUGCGUACACACGAACUGCAUUUACAUGCACCAUGUCCAAUGAAAACACUACAGCGUAUAUGUACGUACGUAUACGUAUGCAUUUUCAUAUGCACCACGCACGCGCGUCUUGAAAGCUCUCAAACGUCAGAGUGCACGUUGCAGCGGCGCAAAUCGGAUUACGUCUUCGAAUUCUAUCCUUUGUCGAUUUUCUCGUCUUCACUUUGUUUUUUUGUUUUUUUUGUUUCUCUCUCUCUUCAUUUUAUAAUCUUUCUGCGCGGCAAAAUUCUUAAGUCCGAACUCUGUUCGCUUUAUCUCCGAUGUAUUGAUUGCGAUAAAAAAGAGUCGUAAAUUAUUUCGUACGCGAAAAACUUUGCGAUUCUUUCUGUUCGUGUAAAUUUUCGAAAAAUUUGCAAUUGUAAAUAAAGUUGCAUCACCACGUAUAAAUAGCAGAAGGGGAGAGAAAAUUUGUGAGAAAAAAUAAAAUCGUCGCCAUUUCACCGUUUUUCACAAAAUGAUUGCGGCAGAAUCGAACCGAGUAAGAUGAAGAUUUUUGUCAAACUGAAAAACAAUACGGUUUGUUCUAUUGCGCAAAAGAAGAAAACUAUUUCCUGAGGACUAGAGCCGACGAAUCAUACGUCGUGUACAUCUCUACACGUGUAUCGUAUUUAUAAUAAUUAUUAUAACGCACACGGCAUUCGUAUCAAAGAUGUGAAUAUAUACAUCUAUAGGGGAUAACGGGGCAUAACGGGGAUAGCCGAAACGAAAUAAUGAUUUCAUCACCACCGUUUUCUUGUUGCCACUGACAAAUGAUUCCACUCCCAUGUAACAACGUUUCAGGCGAUCCGAUGUAAUAAGAAAAAGUAGAAGGAGAGAAAAAAAAAACACCUUCCGGAGCUGUAGAAUUAAUUUUUUUCUUUCAAAUGUAAUUAAAAAAAUGAAUAAAUAAUUGAAUAAUCGAAUAUACCCGAAAUAAAAUAUUUUCCUUAUCUCGCCGCACAAUACGCUGCAGUUACAAUGGAUUCUAUUUUGUACGUAUAUUUGUACGGAACGAAGCAGCUACGAACAACGAGGAGCGAAAAAGUUCGAAAAUAAACCGUAAGUUACAUAAAACGUAUAAUAAUUUAGGCGGCGUUAACGGUGUAAUGCCAUGAGAACGAAGGACAUUAAAUGUUAUUCAUUCAAAACGAUGAUAUGAACAUUUUUUAAAGGAGAUAUCGAUUUUUCGAAUCAUGAAAUUCCACCGUUACAUAACCGUAUGUAUAUGUAUACCUACGUAUGCGUGUAUAUCUAUUCGAUAAUAUGGUAACAACCAUAUGGUGACAUUACCCCGUUGAAAUCAAACGUUCGAGAUUUUUCGAAUUUUUGCAUCGAUAAAAUGGCGACGUGUUUUUCAAACUGCAGUUGUUUUUCCACAAUAUAUUGGACGUACGUACAUCUGUUCGUAUAUUAUAUAUACAUGAGAUGAUAUUGCGUCCAUCGACCAACGUUUACAAUACGUAUAGAUAUUACAUAACUGCGUGAAAAUAUAACAUAAGCCUCGGAAUCGAAAUCAUUUAUAUAAACCGCGUUUGCUUUUAUAUACCAUACGAAUAUUUCCUAUGAUAAAUGAAGUUGCGACGAUAACAUUUAUAGUUGUGCAGUGACCAAAAAUAUUAUAAAUGUUAAAGAAAUGACGAAAUCAAAUUCGAACACCGGUACAAAAUUAUACAAAUAGAAUAGACUCGUUACGUGGCGUGACUCGAAACAAAUAGGAUUAUAUACGUUAUUUACUGCUUUUGUUAUAGUACAUCGCAGUAGUGAUAAUUGUUAAUAAUAUUAAAAACAUUAACAACGGCAUCACCGAUAUGAGAAAAUGAAACUCGUUCACCGGUAGAAAAUAUACGUAUACAUAUAUAUAAAAGACUCAUUACGUGAGAUGACUAAAAAUAAGUUGAAUUAUAUGUAUAUAUAUUAUUCGUCUCGCUUUAUAAUAUAUAAAUAAUAUCGGCGAAUCCAAAAGAAUUCUACCGAUUUUUCCAGUGGAUUGUACGAAAAAAAAAUAUCUAAUACCAAAAACCAACUAUUUUCAAUAAAAGUCAUGCUCUAUACCGCGCGAACGUUUCAAAGUUUUUUUCGAUGCUCCAAUUUCGGACCUCCGAUCCGCAGUUUUUGACGUACAGAUUUCGUUGGAAGUAAUGAAAACUAUGCCAUGUCCAGUUGGUGAAAACGGUUUCCACAGGGCAAUCAAAGUCAAUGAAGCUGUGGCACAGUCCUUGUACAAAGUUUUUUAGUCAUCACCGUAUACGGCGGGCGAUAAAGGUGCACGAAAAUUUGAAGAUUUGUUCCGGAAAAUUUCAAUUCACGGGCAAAGUCCAGAGGAGCGAAGGAGGAGAGAGAAAAAUAUGAUUACAAUAAAAUGUAAUGAACAAUAAUCUUAAAAAUAUGUAUCAUGUUCUAGUGCACGGUUUGUUUUUGUAUCUUGUUUCAAUUAUAGUAAUUUAAUUUAAUCAACUUUUAUGGGUGAUUAAUCUGAUUCAAAGGACGUCAGCCAAUAAUUAAGUAAAUCUAAUGGAAUGGCUCGUGGAUCAUUCGUUCACGCACGAUGAAUCAAAGUUAAAUUAUACAGGUGGAAGCGUCGGCCAUUUCCUUCCGUCCGUAAUCUUCGUAUCAAUUUUACACCUAUAUCGAUCGUCGCUAAAUCGUCGGUUCCAUAAAUGGGAGAAAAUGUAAAAAUAACUUGCAAUAAAUUCAUAAUUCGAUUUCUCAUCCAAUUGAAAUACGUUAUUGAUCAAUUUUCAGAAUUUCGAAAUUUGUAUUUCGGUCGAUCGUCUAAAAAAAUUGCAGAUUCUCCAGUGCAAUCUUCGCAAAUUUUUAAUCACAGGUAAAAGAGUCCUCUCAAUUUCUGUAAAGAUUGGAUUAGGUAAUCGUCAGCUGUGUGCUAGGACGCCAAUUUUUGGCACAUCGAAUUGUUUCGUUACGAAGCGAUCGCGAUAAGCGACGUUAUGGAGUCGUUCGCGUUGGCGUUGGAAAAAUGAUAGAAAGAAAAAAAAAAAACAAGGAAAAAUAGAAAACUCGAUCCGUUUAAAAAAAAAUCCACGACUACAUAACAGGAUUAUGUACCUCGUCGAUAUUUCAAUACUCCGUAGAACAACUCGAAUUAACGAUGACAAAUUUAACAGUAAUUAUCGAGGUGUGUCACGUUGGUUCCUUCGUUGAAAUUUAUAAGUGCGUCGUCGCCCGCGUUACAGAGCGGUGCGAUCCACGGAGUUUAUUAGUUAGUUGCGAAGUCGAGCUUAAAGUUAAGUCGAGCUCAAAGCUCAUAGUUUCGGAUCGGAUCGUAUAUGGGAAGAGUUGGUCGAUUUGCUUCUCGAGUCGCUUCAGAAUCAGAGCACAGUUUAUGUAAUCAAAGAUUGUGCUGAACAAGUAUAGGUAUACCCUGCGUGUAUCCGUACAGCAUCGAAGGUAUAUGUAUGUAUACGUGAUUCGUGACUUCGAAA
Athalia rosae (coleseed sawfly) is the source of this 3720-nucleotide long non-coding RNA. RefSeq lists it as uncharacterized. Lineage: Eukaryota; Metazoa; Arthropoda; Insecta; Hymenoptera; Athaliidae. The transcript is spliced from 3 exons. The record is from RefSeq and is a predicted model, not a curated record.